Molecule: transfer RNA, 129 nt
Filed under: Apiosordaria backusii
Lineage: Eukaryota; Fungi; Ascomycota; Sordariomycetes; Sordariales; Lasiosphaeriaceae
Rfam family: tRNA
About the family: Transfer RNA (tRNA) molecules are approximately 80 nucleotides in length.
Source: Rfam by way of RNAcentral
GGGAGCUUGGCUCAGUUGGAAGAGCGCAGGUCUCAUAUGAAAUUGUCAACAAAAGACAAGAGAAAUAUGAUCUGAUUGUGCAACAUCAGAGUUAUCCUGAGGUCGUGAGUUCGAGCCUCACAGUUCCCA